GAUGAACGCUAGCGGCAGGCCUAACACAUGCAAGUCGAGGGGUAGAGUUCUUCGGGACUUGAGACCGGCGCACGGGUGCGUAACGCGUAUGCAAUCUACCUUUUGCAGAGGGAUAGCCCAGAGAAAUUUGGAUUAAUACCUCAUAGUAUAGUACUUUGGCAUCAAGGAACUAUUAAAGUUCCAACGGUAAAGAUGAGUAUGCGUCCCAUUAGCUAGAUAGGUAAGGUAACGGCUUACCAUGGCAAUGAUGGGUAGGGGUCCUGAGAGGGAGAUCCCCACACUGGUACUGAGACACGGA
This 298-nucleotide ribosomal RNA is filed under the name uncultured bacterium. RNAcentral describes it as "partial 16S ribosomal RNA". It matches the Rfam family "Bacterial small subunit ribosomal RNA", at positions 28 to 330 of the family's 1533-position model. The record is from RNAcentral.